Molecule: ribosomal RNA, 502 nt
Filed under: uncultured bacterium
Lineage: Bacteria
Description: bacterial SSU rRNA
Rfam family: Bacterial small subunit ribosomal RNA
Source: RNAcentral
AACGAACGCUGGCGGCGUGCCUAAGACAUGCAAGUCGUACGGUAAGGCACCUUCGGGUGCACACGAGUGGCGCACGGGUGGGUAACGCGUGGGUAAUCUGCCCUCAGGUCGGGGACAACUUCGGGAAACUGGAGCUAAUACCGGAUGAGCCCACGAGGUCUUCGGACCUCGCGGGAAAAGGUGGCCUCUCCUUGGAAGCUACCGCCAGGGGAUGAGCCCGCGUCCCAUUAGUUUGUUGGUGAGGUAACGGCUCACCAAGGCGACGAUGGGUAGCUGGUCUGAGAGGAUGAUCAGCCACACUGGAACUGAGACACGGUCCAGACUCCUACGGGAGGCAGCAGUCGGGAAUUUUGGGCAAUGGGCGCAAGCCUGACCCAGCAACGCCGCGUGAGGGAUGAAGGCCUUCGGGUCGUAAACCUCUGUCGGGAGGGAAGAACGUUCUCCGGGUGAAUAAUCCGGGGAGCUGACGGUACCUCCAAAGGAAGCACCGGCUAACUCCGUG